Molecule: ribosomal RNA, 373 nt
Filed under: uncultured euryarchaeote
Lineage: Archaea; Methanobacteriati; Methanobacteriota
Description: bacterial SSU rRNA
Rfam family: Archaeal small subunit ribosomal RNA
Source: RNAcentral
GCGCGAAGACUUCACACUGCAGGAAACUGUGAUGAGGGAACUCCAAGUGCUAUCACUAUGUGGUAGCUUUUCUUAACUAUUAAUCGGUUUUGGAAUAAGGGCUGGGAAAGACCGGUGCCAGCCGCCGCGGUAAUACCGGCAGCUCAAGUGGUCGUCGCUUUUAUUGGGCCUAAAACGUCCGUAGCCUGUUUGGUAAAUCUGUGGGUAAAUCAACCAGCUUAACUGGUUGAAUUCUGCAGAGACUGCCAGACUAGGGACCGGGAGAGGUGUGGGGUACUCUAGGGGUAGGAGUAAAAAUCCUGUCAUCCUUAGAGGACCACCAGUUGCGAAGGCGCCACACUGGAACGGAUCCGACGGUCAGGGACGAAGCCUA